CCUACGGGUGGCAGCAGUCGAGAAUCAUUCACAAUGGGGGAAACCCUGAUGGUGCGACGCCGCGUGGGGGAAUGAAGGUCUUCGGAUUGUAAACCCCUGUCAUGUGGGAGCAAAUUAAAAAGAUAGUACCACAAGAGGAAGAGAAGGCUAACUCUGUGCCAGCAGCCGCGGUAAUACAGAGGUCUCAAGCGUUGUUCGGAAUCACUGGGCGUAAGGCGUGCGUAGGCUGUUUCGUAAGUCGUGUGUGAAAGGCGCGGGCUCAACCCGCGGACGGCACAUGAUACUGCGAGACUAGAGUAAUGGAGGGGGAACCGGAAUUCUCGGUGUAGCAGUGAAAUGCGUAGAUAUCGAGAGGAACACUCGUGGCGAAGGCGGGUUCCUGGACAUUAACUGACGCUGAGGCACGAAGGCCAGGGGAGCGAAAGGGAUUAGAUACCCUGGUAGUC
RNAcentral lists this ribosomal RNA (446 nucleotides) under uncultured bacterium. RNAcentral describes it as "partial 16S ribosomal RNA". It matches the Rfam family "Bacterial small subunit ribosomal RNA", at positions 338 to 795 of the family's 1533-position model. The record is from RNAcentral.